RNAcentral lists this ribosomal RNA (2903 nucleotides) under Proteus mirabilis. Its description in RNAcentral is "23S ribosomal RNA". It matches the Rfam family "Bacterial large subunit ribosomal RNA". The record is from RNAcentral. Lineage: Bacteria; Pseudomonadati; Pseudomonadota; Gammaproteobacteria; Enterobacterales; Morganellaceae.
GGUUAAGCGAAUAAGCGUACACGGUGGAUGCCUAGGCAAUCAGAGGCGAUGAAGGACGUGCUAAUCUGCGAAAAGCGUCGGUAAGGUGAUAUGAACCGUUAUACCCGACGAUAUCCGAAUGGGGAAACCCAGUAUCCAAUGGAUACUAUCAUUAACUGAAUCCAUAGGUUAAUGAGGCGAACCGGGAGAACUGAAACAUCUCAGUACCCCGAGGAAAAGAAAUCAACCGAGAUUCCCCUAGUAGCGGCGAGCGAACGGGGAGCAGCCCAGAGUCUUAAUCAAUAGCAGUGUCAGGAGAACGGUCUGGAAAGUCCGGCAGUAAAGGGUGAUAGCCCCGUAUCUGAAGAUGCUGUUAUUGUGAACUCGACGAGUAGGGCGGGACACGUGUUAUCCUGUCUGAAUAUGGGGGGACCAUCCUCCAAGGCUAAAUACUCCUGAUUGACCGAUAGUGAACCAGUACCGUGAGGGAAAGGCGAAAAGAACCCCGGCGAGGGGAGUGAAAAAGAACCUGAAACCGUGUACGUACAAGCAGUAGGAGCCUCUUUAUGGGGUGACUGCGUACCUUUUGUAUAAUGGGUCAGCGACUUAUAUUCUGUAGCAAGGUUAACCGUAUAGGGGAGCCGUAGGGAAACCGAGUCUUAACUGGGCGAAUGAGUUGCAGGGUAUAGACCCGAAACCCGGUGAUCUAUCCAUGGGCAGGUUGAAGGUUGGGUAACACUAACUGGAGGACCGAACCGACUAAUGUUGAAAAAUUAGCGGAUGACUUGUGGAUGGGGGUGAAAGGCCAAUCAAACCGGGAGAUAGCUGGUUCUCCCCGAAAGCUAUUUAGGUAGCGCCUCGUGAACUCAUCUUCGGGGGUAGAGCACUGUUUCGACUAGGGGGUCAUCCCGACUUACCAACUCGAUGCAAACUGCGAAUACCGAAGAAUGUUAUCACGGGAGACACACGGCGGGUGCUAACGUCCGUCGUGAAGAGGGAAACAACCCAGACCGCCAGCUAAGGUCCCAAAGUCAUGGUUAAGUGGGAAACGAAGUGGGAAGGCUCAGACAGCCAGGAUGUUGGCUUAGAAGCAGCCAUCAUUUAAAGAAAGCGUAAUAGCUCACUGGUCGAGUCGGCCCGCGCGGAAGAUGUAACGGGGCUAAACCAUGCACCGAAGCUGCGGCAGCGACACAAAGUGUUGUUGGGUAGGGGAGCGUUCUGUAAGCCUGCGAAGGUGUACUGUGAGGUAUGCUGGAGGUAUCAGAAGUGCGAAUGCUGACAUAAGUAACGAUAAUGCGGGUGAAAAACCCGCACGCCGGAAGACCAAGGGUUCCUGUCCAACGUUAAUCGGGGCAGGGUGAGUCGACCCCUAAGGCGAGGCUGAAAAGCGUAGUCGAUGGGAAACGGGUUAAUAUUCCCGUACUGGUGGUAACUGCGAUGGGGGAACGGAGAAGGCUAGGUUGUCCGGGCGACGGUCGUCCCGGUUCAAGCAGGUAGGCAGAGUGAUUAGGCAAAUCCGGUCACUUAAUGCUGAGAUGUGAUGACGAACCACCAAGGUGGUGAAGCAAUUGAUGCCCCGCUUCCAGGAAAAGCCUCUAAGCUUCAGGUUACCAACAAUCGUACCCCAAACCGACACAGGUGGUCAGGUAGAGAAUACUCAGGCGCUUGAGAGAACUCGGGUGAAGGAACUAGGCAAAAUGGUGCCGUAACUUCGGGAGAAGGCACGCUGGCGGUAGGUAAAGUCCCUCGCGGACGGCGCUGAAGCCAGUCGAAGAUACCAGCUGGCUGCAACUGUUUAUUAAAAACACAGCACUGUGCAAACACGAAAGUGGACGUAUACGGUGUGACGCCUGCCCGGUGCUGGAAGGUUAAUUGAUGGGGUUAGCCGUAAGGCGAAGCUCCUGAUCGAAGCCCCAGUAAACGGCGGCCGUAACUAUAACGGUCCUAAGGUAGCGAAAUUCCUUGUCGGGUAAGUUCCGACCUGCACGAAUGGCGUAAUGAUGGCCAGGCUGUCUCCACCCGAGACUCAGUGAAAUUGAACUCGCUGUGAAGAUGCAGUGUACCCGCGGCAAGACGGAAAGACCCCGUGAACCUUUACUAUAGCUUGACACUGAACAUUGAGCCUUGAUGUGUAGGAUAGGUGGGAGGCUUUGAAGUGUGGACGCCAGUCUGCAUGGAGCCAACCUUGAAAUACCACCCUUUAACGUUUGAUGUUCUAACCUAGGCCCAUAAACUGGGUCGGGGACCGUGUCUGGUGGGUAGUUUGACUGGGGCGGUCUCCUCCUAAAGAGUAACGGAGGAGCACGAAGGUUGGCUAAGCAUGGUCGGACAUCAUGCGGUUAGUGCAAAGGCAUAAGCCAGCUUGACUGCGAGAGUGACGGCUCGAGCAGGUACGAAAGUAGGUCUUAGUGAUCCGGUGGUUCUGAAUGGAAGGGCCAUCGCUCAACGGAUAAAAGGUACUCCGGGGAUAACAGGCUGAUACCGCCCAAGAGUUCAUAUCGACGGCGGUGUUUGGCACCUCGAUGUCGGCUCAUCACAUCCUGGGGCUGAAGUAGGUCCCAAGGGUAUGGCUGUUCGCCAUUUAAAGUGGUACGCGAGCUGGGUUUAGAACGUCGUGAGACAGUUCGGUCCCUAUCUGCCGUGGGCGUUGGAAGAUUGAGAGGGGUUGCUCCUAGUACGAGAGGACCGGAGUGAACGCACCACUGGUGUUCGGGUUGUCAUGCCAAUGGCAUUGCCCGGUAGCUAAGUGCGGAAGAGAUAACCGCUGAAAGCAUCUAAGCGGGAAACUUGCCUCGAGAUGAGUCUUCCCUGUCGCUUUAAGCGACCUAAAGGAACGUUUAAGACUAAGACGUUGAUAGGCUGGGUGUGUAAGCGUAGCGAUACGUUGAGCUAACCAGUACUAAUGAACCGUGAGGCUUAACCUG